UUGAACGCUGGCGGCAUGCCUUACACAUGCAAGUCGAACGGCAGCGCGGGAGCAAUCCUGGUGGCGAGUGGCGAACGGGUGAGUAAUAUAUCGGAACGUGCCCGGUCGUGGGGGAUAACGUAGCGAAAGCUACGCUAAUACCGCAUACGAUCUACGGAUGAAAGCGGGGGAUCGCAAGACCUCGCGCGAUUGGAGCGGCCGAUAUCAGAUUAGGUAGUUGGUGAGGUAAAGGCUCACCAAGCCGACGAUCUGUAGCUGGUCUGAGAGGACGACCAGCCACACUGGGACUGAGACACGGCCCAGACUCCUACGGGAGGCAGCAGUGGGGAAUUUUGGACAAUGGGCGCAAGCCUGAUCCAGCAAUGCCGCGUGCAGGAUGAAGGCCUUCGGGUUGUAAACUGCUUUGUACGGAACGAAACGGUGAGCUCUAAUACAGUUUGCUAAUGACGGUACCGUAAGAAUAAGCACCGGCUAACUACGUG
Molecule: ribosomal RNA, 482 nt
Filed under: uncultured bacterium
Lineage: Bacteria
Description: bacterial SSU rRNA
Rfam family: Bacterial small subunit ribosomal RNA
Source: RNAcentral